CUUUAUUAGCAGCAUGACAACAGACUAAUACAAAGAAUAAGAAUAGAUCCUGAAUGGCAAAAUGGUUAGACUCUCAAAUAAAUUUUCUGCCUUUUCUGUGCCCCACGCUAUCUCAGAGGAAAGAACAUUUUCCAGGUUCCUUCUUCCUCUGGCUUCCAGACAGGUUCAGCCAAUGGAAAACACUGGUGGAAAAUUGAAGUACAGGAGGAAACAAGAAGGACUAUGACUGGAGCUUCUCUUUACUGCAAUAUAGAACAGCAUCAAAGGCAAAUAAGACCAAUAGAAUCACAUUGCUAAUACUGCCCUCGUUUCGUUGUGUGCACACCAUCAAACAGGCAGAUGAAGAGGAUCCUUGUCUUGGUAAGGGAAGAAGUCACCACACAUCCCAGCUGGAGGAGGGAACAUGACUUUGGCUCACUUCAGCACCCUCACCAUUGUUCCAGAUAUCCAAGGCCCUCCUUGGACCUCAACAAGACUUAAGCCGCUGCAGAGACGGUGUAAAUGUGGAGUGGCUGGUUGGGGACAGAGUGAAACUCCUGGAAUCAGAUGGUGAUCUGCUGAUAAGCUGGGUCUGUGCCAGCCAGCAGAGUCCAUGCGUGCAAGAGCCUGGAGUCUCCCCCUGUGAAGGCUUGGGGCUGGUUGGGCAGUAAGCCUCACAGUAAUCCUUAGUCCUGUUAGAUAGGAGUUCUAAAUUUAUUUUCAAAGAAUUAAUAUGUCAGUAUUCAAUUAUUUGCCUUCUACUUUUAAACUUAACUUCCUCAUAAAGCAACCUUUUUCCAUUACCUACCCCACCCUAACUCAUUCUGAUCACCUGCUCCACCCUAACUCAUUCUGACCACCUGCUCCACCCUAACUCAUUCUGACCACCUGCUCCUCCCUAACUCAUUAGGAUUACCUGCUACCUGCUCUGCCCUGACUCCCGCCAAAGCUCUCAUCCCAUCAUUCUCUUUCAAUUAGGCAAUCGGAAUUAGUUUAGCCUGUGUGGUCUAACC
RNAcentral lists this long non-coding RNA (992 nucleotides) under Pan troglodytes (chimpanzee). RNAcentral's name for it is "long non-coding RNA NONPTRT013254". Lineage: Eukaryota; Metazoa; Chordata; Mammalia; Primates; Hominidae. The record is from RNAcentral.